GAUGAACGCUGGCGGCGUGCCUAAUACAUGCAAGUCGAGCGAACAGAUAAGGAGCUUGCUCCUUUGACGUUAGCGGCGGACGGGUGAGUAACACGUGGAUAACCUACCCAUAAGACUGGGAUAACUUCCGGAAACCGGAGCUAAUACCGGAUAACAUAUUGAACCGCAUGGUUCAAUAAUGAAAGGCGGGCUUUGCUGUCACUUAUAGAUGGAUCCGCGCCGUAUUAGCUAGUUGGUAAGGUAACGGGUUACCAAGGAAACGAUACGUAGCCGACCUGAGAGGGUGAUCGGCCACACUGGAACUGAGACACGGUCCAGACUCCUACGGGAGGCAGCAGUAGGGAAUCUUCUGCAAUGGGCGAAAGCCUGACGGAGCAACGCCGCGUGAGUGAUGAAGGUCUUUGGAUCGUAAAACUCUGUUAUCAGGGAAGAACAAAUGUGUAAGUAACUGUGCACAUCUUGACGGUACCUGAUCAGAAAGCCACGGCUAACUACGUGCCAGCAGCCGCGGUAAUACGUAGGUGGCAAGAGUUAUCCGGAAUUAUUGGGCGUAAAGCGCGCGUAGGCGGUUUUUUAAGUCUGAUGUGAAAGCCCACGGCUCAACCGUGGAGGGUCAUUGGAAACUGGAAAACUUGAGUGCAGAAGAGGAAAGUGGAAUUCCAUGUGUAGCGGUGAAAUGCGCAGAGAUAUGGAGGAACACCAGUGGCGAAGGCGACUUUCUGGUCUGUAACUGACGCUGAUGUGCGAAAGCGUGGGGAUCAAACAGGAUUAGAUACCCUGGUAGUCCACGCCGUAAACGAUGAGUGCUAAGUGUUAGGGGGUUUCCGCCCCUUAGUGCUGCAGCUAACGCAUUAAGCACUCCGCCUGGGGAGUACGACCGCAAGGUUGAAACUCAAAGGAAUUGACGGGGACCCGCACAAGCGGUGGAGCAUGUGGUUUAAUUCGAAGCAACGCGAAGAACCUUACCAAAUCUUGACAUCCUUUGACCGCUCUAGAGAUAGAGUCUUCCCCUUCGGGGGACAAAGUGACAGGUGGUGCAUGGUUGUCGUCAGCUCGUGUCGUGAGAUGUUGGGUUAAGUCCCGCAACGAGCGCAACCCUUAAGCUUAGUUGCCAUCAUUAAGUUGGGCACUCUAAGUUGACUGCCGGUGGACAAACCGGAGGAAAGGUGGGGAUGACGUCAAAUCCAUCAUGCCCCUUUAUGAUUCUGGGGCUACACCACGUGGCUACAAUGGGACAAAUACAAAGGG
This 1248-nucleotide ribosomal RNA is filed under the name uncultured bacterium. RNAcentral's name for it is "bacterial SSU rRNA". It matches the Rfam family "Bacterial small subunit ribosomal RNA", at positions 28 to 1246 of the family's 1533-position model. The record is from RNAcentral.